GCUGGCAAAUAUAGCACCAUAGAACCACCUGACCCCAUUCCGAACUCAGAAGUGAAAUAUGGUAGCGCCGAUGGUAGUGUAAGGUUUCCUUAUGCGAGAGUAGGACAUUGCCAGCU
This 116-nucleotide ribosomal RNA is filed under the name Vibrio alginolyticus. RNAcentral also lists the same sequence under 1 other name. The record is from RNAcentral. Lineage: Bacteria; Pseudomonadati; Pseudomonadota; Gammaproteobacteria; Vibrionales; Vibrionaceae.